RNAcentral lists this ribosomal RNA (255 nucleotides) under uncultured bacterium. RNAcentral's name for it is "partial 16S ribosomal RNA". It matches the Rfam family "Bacterial small subunit ribosomal RNA", at positions 524 to 776 of the family's 1533-position model. The record is from RNAcentral.
UACGAAGGGUGCAAGCGUUACUCGGAAUUACCGGGCGUAAAGCGUGCGUAGGUGGUUUGUUAAGUCUGAUGUGAAAGCCCUGGGCUCAACCUGGGAAUUGCAUUGGAUACUGGCAGGCUAGAGUGCGGUAGAGGAUGGCGGAAUUCCCGGUGUAGCAGUGAAAUGCGUAGAGAUCGGGGAGGAACAUCUGUGGCGAAGGCGGCCAUCUGGACCAGCACUGACACUGAGGCACGAAAGCGUGGGGGAGCAAACAGG